UACGUAUGGUGCAAGCGUUGCUCGGAAUCACUGGGCGUAAAGGGUGUUUAGGCGGGUAUGUAAGUCUGUUGUGAAAUACCGCAGCUUAACUGCGGUGCUGCGACGGAAACUGCAUAUCUGGGGUCCCGGAGAGGCAGACGGAAUUCCCGGUGUAGCGGUGAAAUGCGCAGAUAUCGGGAGGAACACCGAUGGCGAAGGAAGUCUGCUGGACGGAGAAUGACUUUGAGGCACGAAAGCGUGGGGAGCAAACAGG
This 253-nucleotide ribosomal RNA is filed under the name uncultured bacterium. RNAcentral's name for it is "partial 16S ribosomal RNA". It matches the Rfam family "Bacterial small subunit ribosomal RNA", at positions 524 to 776 of the family's 1533-position model. The record is from RNAcentral.